This 330-nucleotide ribosomal RNA is filed under the name uncultured bacterium. Its description in RNAcentral is "bacterial SSU rRNA". It matches the Rfam family "Bacterial small subunit ribosomal RNA", at positions 568 to 898 of the family's 1533-position model. The record is from RNAcentral.
UCCGUAGGCGGUGUGGUAAGUCGAUAGUGAAAUCUCUGGGCUUAACCCAGAGGCUGCUAACGAAACUGCCAUGCUAGAGUGUGAGAGAGGCGAGUGGAAUUACGGGUGUAGCGGUGAAAUGCGUAGAUAUCCGUAGGAACAUCCGAGGCGAAGGCGGCUCGCUGGAUCACAACUGACGCUGAGGGACGAAAGCUAGGGGAGCAAACAGGAUUAGAUACCCUGGUAGUCCUAGCCCUAAACCAUCAGGACUUGGGGUUUGCCCUGUACGGGGCAAGUCCCGUAGCUAACGCGUUAAGUCCUGCGCCUGGGGAGUACGGUCGCAAGGCUGAA